This 76-nucleotide long non-coding RNA is filed under the name Chinchilla lanigera (long-tailed chinchilla). Its description in RNAcentral is "lncRNA (ENSCLAG00000028489.1)". The record is from RNAcentral. Lineage: Eukaryota; Metazoa; Chordata; Mammalia; Rodentia; Chinchillidae.
CUCCUGGUUUCAGUGGGUCCCACAGAGGUGACAGCUUCUCGGAACCCAAGCUGCUGACCAACAGCCAGGGAGUAUC